AAAUCUCUAGAAUCUGGAUUCAAACCUUCAUGUAGGCCUGAAUUUACAGGCCCUUUACUUCGCACGCAUGUCAAACUCCAUAAAAAAAUAAGAUGAAGCUUCGGAUCGAAGCAUCUUCGCAAGGCCACCAAGGGUGGAAAGAGAGUCAUUGAUGUGACACCUCACACCAGCAAGAGGAUGUCCAAAGAGGAGGCCAUGACAAGGAGGAGAAGGGGGCGGCAAGGAGGAGGACACGCCAAGGGUGGGAUGCCCAUUAGCUCUUUCAUGCCUCUCUCUCUCUCUCUCUUUCUCUCUUUUUCACACUUUGAUUGCUAUUCAUCCAUAGGUAGAUAUUUUCUCUAUUUAUGGAUGAUUCUUAUGAUCCAAUAAGAAUAGAACUUCUAAUUCAAACAAGCUUUGAAUCAAUCCAUAACUUAUUGAAGAAUGAUUCCUAUAUGAGAAAGGAUUGGCACCUAACAUGGCGCCUACUUUGCACCCACACCCAUGUGGGAUGGCACACAACCAGCACCAUACCAGGUGCUGGUCAGUCAUGGAGGUG
RNAcentral lists this long non-coding RNA (538 nucleotides) under Elaeis guineensis (African oil palm). RNAcentral describes it as "long non-coding RNA (EGUI_LNC062408)". Lineage: Eukaryota; Viridiplantae; Streptophyta; Magnoliopsida; Arecales; Arecaceae. The record is from RNAcentral.